Molecule: non-coding RNA, 125 nt
Organism: Triticum aestivum (bread wheat)
Lineage: Eukaryota; Viridiplantae; Streptophyta; Magnoliopsida; Poales; Poaceae
Source: Rfam
ACAGUACUCCUUCCGUCCGGAAUUACUUGUCACACAAAUAGAUAAAAUUAGAUGUAUCUAGAACUAAAAUAUAUCUAGAUACAUUCAUUGCUUCGACAAGUAUUUCCGGAAGGAGGGAGUAGUAU